AUUUGUUACAACACACACAGAGUCACAAAACCUUGAACACAUAACUCACACAAACACAUGUCCUUAUGCGCAUUCAUAGAAACAUAUUUGUUUCAGCACUCUAGGACAAUAUCAUAAUCAUUCAGGAGUCGAAGUCAUAAAAACUUCCAAAGCUCAUUCAGCUGACACUAAAUUCACACACACACACACACACACACACACACACACACACACUCAUUGUACCAUAUAUUCUGCUCCGGGAGCUUCAAAUCCACUUGACACUACACAGGAAGAGAACUUGCCCAAAGGAAGAGCAACUGCCCUUGGGGGGCAACAGCCCACUGGGACAUCGCAAGAGCAAGCAGAGAAGGUCAGCUGAGAGCUGAAUUCCCUUCCAUAAUGAUGUCUGGGAGAGGGAACAGAAGGAGGAGACAGACAGGAAGAACAGGCAGAGACAGACCCACCAUAGAGACAGACCCACCAUAGAGACUAAGACGAAGAGGGCACUCUUGUUCCAGCUCCCACUGGCAGACACUCUUUUCAGGAAACCACGGAACAAGCAAAUCCAUUAAAAAGGACACAUUUUGGAGGAAUGUCUUUCAUCACCUUGUGAAAUAACUGUAUAAGAAACAGGAUACUGUAUAGUGUGCCUUUCAGUUCUAGAAAAAUAAAUCUCUUCAGGACAAAACAAGACCCUGUUCGUCCUGUCGUGGUUUAUUUUCCGAUACUGACCGGCAGACUGUAUAUUAUCCCUUACUAAUAGAUGACUGUGAUACUUAGUUAGAUGGUCACAUGGCUCAUGUAGUUGAUGUUAGUCUGGGAAGCGAAUAGACAACAGAGGGGAGCAGGGGGUUUGGCUAACUGACUGAGUAGCUUCCUUCUGGGAUGGAGCCGUAGCGUGAGGGAGCCGGCAGAGCUCCAUCGAAGCAACGCUAACAGCUUCCAGCUUAGUCACGUACAGCAAGAAGGGCAACACAACUCACACACACACACUCACACAUACUCACACACAACACACACACAAACACAUACUCACACAGCUAAGUUACAUACAGCAAGAAGGGUAACACAACUCACACACACACACUCACACAUAAACACAUACUAUUACUCACACACAAACACACAUACUUACACACAAAUACACACUCACACACACAAACACAUACUCACACAGCUAAGUUACGUACAGCAAGAAGGGCAACACAACUCACACACAAGCACAUAUGCUCACACGACCCCCACCCCGCGAUACUGUGAUA
Molecule: long non-coding RNA, 1241 nt
Organism: Clupea harengus (Atlantic herring)
Lineage: Eukaryota; Metazoa; Chordata; Actinopteri; Clupeiformes; Clupeidae
Source: RefSeq, a predicted model, not a curated record